GCAUAUCAAUAAGCGGAGGAAAAGAAACCAACAGGGAUUGCCCCAGUAACGGCGAGUGAAGCGGCAACAGCUCAAAUUUGAAAUCUGGCUCUCGGGCCCGAGUUGUAAUUUGUAGAGGAUGCUUUUGGUGAGGUGCCUUCCGAGUUCCCUGGAACGGGACGCCAUAGAGGGUGAGAGCCCCGUCUGGUUGGACGCCGAACCUCUGUAAAGCUCCUUCGACGAGUCGAGUAGUUUGGGAAUGCUGCUCUAAAUGGGAGGUAUAUGUCUUCUAAAGCUAAAUACCGGCCAGAGACCGAUAGCGCACAAGUAGAGUGAUCGAAAGAUGAAAAGAACUUUGAAAAGAGAGUUAAACAGUACGUGAAAUUGUUGAAAGGGAAGCGCUUGUGACCAGACUUGGGCUUGGUUGAUCAUCCGGGGUUCUCCCCGGUGCACUCUUCCGGCCCAGGCCAGCAUCAGUUCGCCCUGGGGGACAAAGGCUUCGGGAACGUGGCUCUCUCCGGGGAGUGUUAUAGCCCGUUGCGUAAUACCCUGUGGCGGACUGAGGUUCGCGCAUUCGCAAGGAUGCUGGCGUAAUGGUCAUCAGUGACCCGUCUUGAAACACGGACCAAGGAGUCGUCUUCGUAUGCGAGUGUUCGGGUGUCAAACCCCUACGCGAAAUGAAAGUGAACGCAGGUGAGAGCUUCGGCGCAUCAUCGACCGAUCCUGAUGUUAUCGGAUGGAUUUGAGUAAGAGCAUACGGGGCCGGACCCGAAAGAAGGUGAACUAUGCCUGUGUAGGGUGAAGCCAGAGGAAACUCUGGUGGAGGCUCGCAGCGGUUCUGACGUGCAAAUCGAUCGUCAAACAUGGGCAUGGGGGCGAAAGACUAAUCGAACCUUCUAGUAGCUGGUUUCCGCCGA
Molecule: ribosomal RNA, 896 nt
Filed under: Fusarium solani
Lineage: Eukaryota; Fungi; Ascomycota; Sordariomycetes; Hypocreales; Nectriaceae
Description: LSU rRNA
Rfam family: Eukaryotic large subunit ribosomal RNA
Source: RNAcentral